UGCGUUGUAAGUGUAAUGGCUGCACAAUGGUCUCCAAAACCAUUAGAGAGGGUUCGACUCCUUCACAACGUGU
RNAcentral lists this transfer RNA (73 nucleotides) under Enterococcus phage Entf1. RNAcentral's name for it is "tRNA-Trp". It matches the Rfam family "tRNA". Rfam says of the family: Transfer RNA (tRNA) molecules are approximately 80 nucleotides in length. Lineage: Duplodnaviria; Heunggongvirae; Uroviricota; Caudoviricetes. The record is from RNAcentral. RNAcentral also lists the same sequence under 3 other names.